Regulatory RNA element from Tissierella praeacuta DSM 18095, 65 nucleotides. It matches the Rfam family "pemK RNA". Lineage: Bacteria; Bacillati; Bacillota; Tissierellia; Tissierellales; Tissierellaceae. The record is from Rfam.
AUAAUGAUACUUCUACAGUUGUUGCCGGCUCAUCUGGAAAAGAGGCGGAGGUGAAAUUCCUAUGU